Molecule: long non-coding RNA, 1880 nt
Organism: Alexandromys fortis (reed vole)
Lineage: Eukaryota; Metazoa; Chordata; Mammalia; Rodentia; Cricetidae
Exons: 3
Source: RefSeq, a predicted model, not a curated record
GGCCAAUAAUAUCAGUAUCCGAGUUAAGGCUAGCAGCUAAGAUGGGCUUAUGUUACCCUCAGAAUGACCUCACCCCUAUGGUACCGCUAUCAUGGAGCUGCUGCGAGGAUCCCUUUUUUUGUUUGUUUGUUUGAGACACGGUUUCUCUGUGUAAAACAGUCCUAUCUGUCUUGGAACUCUCUCUGUAGACCAGGCUGGCCUUGAACUCACAGAGAUCUGCCCACUUCUGCCUCACAAGUGCUGGGAUUAAAGACAUGCGCCACUGCCACCAGGGCUAGGAUCUCUUUUAACAGACGGGGAACCAGGGGCCAGAAGAGGUGUGGGCCACACUGUCUGUCAACAGGGAGGCCAGGGUCCGGAACACAGCAAACACACAGACUGUGUUCAGAGACUCUGGGAGGAUACCAGCACGCAGAGGGACCCUCGUUCUGCAGGAGAAGAAUCCCAUUGAUGGUGGACUCUCCAACUAGUGGAGCUGAUUUCUGAAGAUUUGGUCUCAGAAGGAUGGAGGAAUGGGCAUGAAUGAGCCUGUCGCUGUAAGGACAUAAACAUUUUUAAAAAGCUUUGCUUGGUCAGGAGCUGGUUAAGACACAGGCCUUGAGCUCUUUGCAGCAUCAGGAGUUAGCUGGAAACAGGAAUCUUUGCGAAAGUGCAGACCAACUGUCCCUAGUAGUUAAGUCCCCUGUCGACACCCAGCUUUGUGGUCUAGACAGGAGCAGAAAUAACUGCUUAGGGGGAAGGCGGGGGGGGGGGGGGGGGGCAUGAACAGAAGUAGAAGGAGUCCAUUCCCUGCACUCAGUAAAACCAACCCCUUUGACCCUAAGUAAACCUGGCUUGCGGUUUUUGCCUAUAUAUGUCAACCCCAAAUGAGGAACGGGAGCUCUCCCUACUACACUGCAUUCACAUGUAAUGGAGAACUCCCAGCUAGCUGGGAAGAAUUAAACCUGGCUUUUGCAUUCUGGACUUGACUGGAUUCUGGUGGUCUCUCUGGGGGUCUCUCAACUUGGGCACAACGUGAGCCUGUCACCACCUCCUAGAAAGUUCAGGAUGAGCCUUGCAGGGAUGUGGUAGGACAAGGGAAGAGCUCUGGGUUAGUAUCCUGCUGUCCCUAGCCACAGAAUUUCAUCUGGUCCAUUUCUUGCUGUGGCCACUCUGCUAAUGGACUUGCUGCAGAUUCCACCGCCAGAGAAUCUGAAAUCCCAAGAAAGGUCGCCUCAGCUUUCAAAAGGAUCUCUCCCUACACCCAAGAAAGGUCACCUCAGCAUUCACAGGGUCUCUCCCUACACCCAAGAAAGGUCGCCUCAGCUUUCACAGGGCCUCUCCCUACACCCAAGAAAGGUCGCCUCAGCUUUCACAGGGUCUCCCCCUACUCCGCAGCUGGACUUCGGGAACUUGGAACUUGCAGUGUGAUCUCCACUAGAGUCUACAAGGUGGGGUGGGGGGUGGGGAUUAGCCUUCAGAAGCAUCUGAUCCACAGGAGAAGGUGAGGAGCUACACAGAGACAGUUUUAUGCGGUUCAUUCCCAUGAUCCCAGCACCUGGAGGUAGAGGAAGGAUGAUCAGGAGUUUAAAGGUCAUCCUUGUCUGUACAGUGAGUUUGAGGCCAGCCUGGGCUAACAGAUCCUUUGUCAAAACAAAACCAAAACAAACAACAACCAGCAAUCAAAAAACAAAACCAAAAUCCCAAGAAACAAAUGAACAAAACACCCCUGGUGGUGGCUUAAUCCUUUCUGGGAAGAAACUAUGGCCAGGCCUUGUCAGGUCAGAGUAACAGACUGGUGUAAUUAAGCCCAGCUGACCUCUGCAUGAUGCUUGAUUUUUUUUUUUAAAGGCAGAAUCUUGUUCUGUACUGGUUGGUCUACAACUCUGCAUGUAGACCAG